RNAcentral lists this long non-coding RNA (1232 nucleotides) under Amborella trichopoda. Its description in RNAcentral is "long non-coding RNA (ATRI_LNC004020)". The record is from RNAcentral. Lineage: Eukaryota; Viridiplantae; Streptophyta; Magnoliopsida; Amborellales; Amborellaceae.
UCGACGUUUUAAGAUCCAUCUUAAAUCGUUCAAAAGGGAAGUUCUCAUUGAACUGAUGACAGAUGUCAGUAAUAAUUCGUCAAGCCUGAACACGAAAAUGAUAAAAGAUCUCAGCUGUCCUGAACUGGUUAGUUUUAUGAUAACAUAUAUUGACACUCAACUCUUGAUUAAUAGAGUGAUACACAUGUUUGCUGUCAAAUCACUGAUGAUACCGAAGAGUCAAUGCUUGAAAGCAAUUCUAGCAGCAGAAGAGGCCAAGUCUCAGGUAAAAGGAUAAAAGAUUAGAAAUUGUGUACUGAUUACAUUUUGGUUCUCUUUUUUUGCAAUUAAACCAAUUGACUCACACUGGUUCUCCUUUUUUGAAAUUUACUUAGGCACAAUUGAAUUCUAAACCAUUGGUUAGACUAUUGUUUAGUUCUUGAAUGGAGAUGAUAUGGGGUUCCUUAAUUUCUCUCUCUAGUUUCUCUCUUUACUGUGUCUCUCUCUAGUAUAUGUUGAUAUUUCUUGCUUUUCAAUGUGAUUUUACCUCAGUGAUUGUUUUUUUUUUUUUUUAUCUUGGCCAUACCUUUUGAUCUCUCUCUGUCUGGUCUUCAUUGAUUUCUUCUUGCAGGGUCUUUAAUCUCAUAAUUCAUGAGACUUUAAUAUUCUCCGUUCCUUAAAUCUCUUCAUCUUGAUAUCUACAAGGAAUUGUUUAAGCCGGUCUUUCAUUUGAUGCAUCUUAUUCUCCAUUUUUGUGUGAAUUACACCAAUCUUUCUCUAUCUAUCUUGUUUAUUGAUCUGUCCGAUUAUAUUAUUUUUUGAUUUUUUUGACUAUUUUCUUAUGUGAUUUGACUAUUUUUAAGUUUUAGCCUAUUUUUCCCUCUCAGUCUUAUUCUUAUGUUUUUCUUUUUUUUGGAUUGGUGAGCUUUCCUCAAGUUUUUAUCUUUACUUUUUAGUAGGUAAUAGGAUUUUGGGCUCAUCUAAUUGAUACCGUUCUCUUCCUUUUUAUUAUCGUCAGGUUUUUGUUAUCGGUAUAUAUAUUGUUGUUGUUAUUGUUGUUAUUUGUGAUUUCCAUAUCUAACUGAGUGCCGACCCUUGGAUGUUCACAUGUUGAGAUUUCGGAAAUUCUAGUUGCGCAAGUUCACAAUUCCUUAAGGAGGUUACAUAAGACUCUUAAUUAUGUGGCAAAAGGAGUGGUUAAGCAGAGCUGAACUUUGUGAAGUUCUCCAUUGUAAUACCCUUUCUACAAGUGU